GCUCAGGACGAACGCUGGCGGCGUGCUUAACACAUGCAAGUCGAGCGGGAACCCAGGGAGGGGUAACCCUCCUUGGGGGAGAGCGGCGAACGGGUGAGUAUCACGUGGGCAACCUGCCCCAGACACUGGGAUAACUCCGGGAAACCGGGGCUAAUACCGGAUACUUCGAUCGGUCCGCAUGGUCCGAUCGAGAAAGCUCCGACGGUCUGGGAUGGGCCCGCGGCCUAUCAGCUUGUUGGCGGGGUAACGGCCCACCAAGGCGACGACGGGUAGCUGGUCUGAGAGGACGGCCAGCCACACUGGGACUGAGACACGGCCCAGACUCCUACGGGAGGCAGCAGUGGGGAAUCUUGCGCCAAUGCGCGAAAGCGUGACGCAGCGACGCCGCGUGGGGGAUGAAGGCCCUCGGGUCGUAAACCCCUUUCGCCAGGGACGAAGCGAAAGUGACGGUACCUGGAGAAGAAGUCCCGGCUAACUACGUGCCAGCAGCCGCGGUAACACGUAGGGGACGAGCGUUGUCCGGAUUCAUUGGGCGUAAAGCGCGCGUAGGCGGUCGUGCAAGUCGGUUGUGAAAUCCCGGGGCUCAACCCCGGGACUGCGUCCGAUACUGCACGACUGGAGGCAGGUAGGGGAGAUCGGAAUUCCUGGUGUAGCGGUGAAAUGCGCAGAUAUCAGGAGGAACACCGGUGGCGAAGGCGGAUCUCUGGGCCUUGCCUGACGCUGAGGCGCGAAAGCUAGGGGAGCGAACAGGAUUAGAUACCCUGGUAGUCCUAGCCGUAAACGUUGGGUGCUAGGUGUGGGCGGACAUCGACCCCGUCCGUGCCGAAGCUAACGCAUUAAGCACCCCGCCUGGGGAGUACGGCCGCAA
Molecule: ribosomal RNA, 868 nt
Filed under: uncultured bacterium
Lineage: Bacteria
Description: bacterial SSU rRNA
Rfam family: Bacterial small subunit ribosomal RNA
Source: RNAcentral